This 261-nucleotide RNase P RNA is filed under the name Stenotrophomonas maltophilia. RNAcentral describes it as "partial RNase P RNA component class A". It matches the Rfam family "Bacterial RNase P class A", at positions 94 to 367 of the family's 367-position model. From Rfam's summary of the family: Ribonuclease P (RNase P) is a ubiquitous endoribonuclease, found in archaea, bacteria and eukarya as well as chloroplasts and mitochondria. Its best characterised activity is the generation of mature 5'-ends of tRNAs by cleaving the 5'-leader elements of precursor-tRNAs. The record is from RNAcentral. Lineage: Bacteria; Pseudomonadati; Pseudomonadota; Gammaproteobacteria; Lysobacterales; Lysobacteraceae.
GCAAGCCGACGGAAAGUGCAACAGAAAGAUACCGCCUACGCCUUCUUCGGAAGGCCGGUAAGGGUGAAAUGGUGCGGUAAGAGCGCACCGCGAGUCUGGCAACAGACCGGCACGGCAAACCCCACCUGGAGCAAGACCAAAUAGGGAUCCUUUGGCGCGGCCCGCGUUGGAUCCGGGUAGGUUGCUUGAGCGUUGCGGUGACGUAACGCCUAGAGGAAUGACUGUCCACGACAGAACCCGGCUUAUCGGCCGGCUCCGCCU